Molecule: long non-coding RNA, 1451 nt
Organism: Cyprinus carpio (common carp)
Lineage: Eukaryota; Metazoa; Chordata; Actinopteri; Cypriniformes; Cyprinidae
Source: Ensembl
CUAAAGUACUUUGUAACGCAGUAACUUGAUUAGUUUUUCCGCAAACUACUUUUUUACUCUUACUUGAGUAAUAUUAUUUUUCAGAACUUUUACUUGAACUCAAGUAAAUUAUUCCUUAAGUAGCAAUACUUUUACUUAAGUACAAUUUCUUAGUACUCUUUCCACCACUACCCUUCACUGAUAUAACUUUGGGCAGAUGAAACGUGACUUUUAUGAAAAACCCUUGACUUAUUCUCUCUUACACCUCCUUUUCCACUCCUGCAAAAAAAUGUGCACCAUCCCAGAGGCUGCUAACAGUGAGGAGGUGCAUGAUUUUCUUGCCCUGAACACAUGCUACAGCAGCUUUCCAGAAGAAGCCGUCAAGUUCACGCAUAGACAAGAUGGUGGAGAACAUAGUGGACACUCUGAAGACUGCAUUUCCACGCUCAGAACCCCAGAGCCCCACAGAUGAAGGAGACCCACAAAGAAAGGGACAAUAUAUGAGACCUGAAUGACACAAGUCAAACGUACAAAUGUAAUAGUCCUAUUGUUUUGAGUUUCCCAAACUGUCCUUUAAUAUUUCAGGCCCCGUCUGAGACUCUCCAGUAAAAUAGCUCCUACUCUUAAUGUUCCAAGCCUGCAACCUAAAGUGACAUAAUCGUUCAGUGAAUGCUGCUCAGUGAGGCCUUCAUAUCAUACAAAAUCCACAUAAAUAGUGCAACCUUCACAUAAACAGAUAUGUUUAAUAUAAUAUAAUAAUGAUGCAAUGUUUGGAAUAUGGCAUGGUUUUUACUUAUUGCAGUGUUUCUCAGUCGUCUUUGUCUUAUGUACCAUCACAACAGAUUUUAAAACACCAGGCAUCAUACACCUGCCGACUUUGUAAAUGGUUACAGAGGAAAACUGGGCAUCAUCAAACGACUGAUGGUCACACAUUAUCAGACAUUAAAGUCAUUCCGAACACAACAAAUUCAGAAACAUGCAUCUUGUUGUAACGAGAAGCAUGACAAAUUAAAAUAAUAUGAGCUGGUUUCAUAGAUAGGGCUUAGACUAAGCCAGGAUUAGGCCAUAGUUAAAUUAGGACAUUUAAGUAAUUUUUAUAAACAUGCCUUAGCAAAAAAAAAAAAAAACAUUACUGCUGUGUAUCUUGAGACAAAACAAGAGCACUGACAUAUUUUAAGAUCAAUCAAUGCAAGAUUCUUUCAGUUGAAACACCUCAGACUUACAUUUUAGUCUGGGGCUUGACUUAGGCCUUGUCUGUGAAACCAGGGGUACAUGUUCUAAAAUAAGCUUAAAAUAUUAAACAUUUCUGAUAUCCUCCCAUUGAAGCUUAAAAAAUCAGAGCCUGUGCCCAUCAUUACAUGUUUUUCUGUGAAACCUGUCAACUCUGCAUGGCCAAAAUCUGCAGACUGGCUCUGACUUUCUGCUGUAAAGCAGCUGUGGCAAGACAAUAGUGUUAUUAUUCAGCUCCAGUC